GGAGGGGCCUUUUCCCCACUUCCACUCUCCCAAGGAGAAACAUCUGAACAAGAGUGUUGUGUGGUGGCCUCAUUUGGGGCCUGGAGUUCUGGCCAACUACUGGCAAAACAAAGGCUGCAGAUGGUGGUGUCGUGGUGCCCUGGCGACUUCUUCCCAUGACGGGGAGGUGUGAAGGACCAAGCUCGGGUAUCCUGAAUUCUGCAGCUAAGCGAGGGUGUGUGGGCGUGUGUCCGUGUGUAGAUGACCGUGAUGGCUACAUUUAUGGUACUCCUGUGGAGCGGCUCUGUGUGUCUGUGCAUGUGUGACAGCUGUGAGCGCUAGACUAGAACACCGUAGACACGAUCUUCCCCUGGGGUGGAGCUUUGCUCACCCCCUUUAUGCUCUGCUUCCCAUCAGAGGCACUGAGCUCUCUGCUCUGAUGCCUACUUUUAGGCACUUUGGUCAUGCUAGCCCAGAUUUUGGUCUGUGAUAAAACAAAGAGAAAUGUUUACAACAUCUAGAGCAAUAUCAAAGUAUACCUCAUCCCGACCUUCCAUGUCUCCCGGUCCUGCCCUCUCUCCGUCUCCUCUUCCACAAGCCCUCAUCCACCUCACUGGGUCGGCAUCCACACAUGCCACUUCCAUCCACUGUCUUCCUCUGCUGCUCGUGUAGGACUUGUGCUGUGGACUGCCUUGUGGACACGAGAUUGCUGUGGUCCUGGGGCCUGUGCAGGCUCGUGGCAGGCCAGGGCAGUAGUUUGGGAAGAGCUGUGACUUUCAGAACUGCUCUCCAUCCCUGAGUGCCCUUUGGAGUGCCAAACUGUUUGGGCUGGUGUGAGAUUCACUGUUCCUCUUGGCUUGGCAAACAAAACAGAACAAGGUCAGCAUGAACCAUUUGCAGCCUUGGGCACCUCUGGGGUGAGAAAGAAUCCUCUGAGCUGGGGAGCGUUUGUAAGUGUGAAUCCCCAGGUUCCACACCCGGAGAUGCUCAUCUGAUAGGCCUGGGAAGGGGACCAGAAAUCUGUAUUUUGAAUAAACUCCUAGAUGGGUAGUGAGUGGCCUGUGGACUUUGAUAAAAGAUCGUUUAAGACAGUGGCUCUCAACCUUGACUGCUCAUUAGCACCAUCCGGGGAGUUUUAAAAACCCAAAUGUCCGCGUCCUACCCUAAAAUGGCUACAUCAGAAGCUCUUUGUUAGGGACCUGGUAUCUGUAGUUUCUAAAGUUCUGCAGGUGAUUCCAACAUGCAGAUGGGCUUAAGAAACACAGGAUGAGGCAUGAGGGCCAAAGGGGCUAAAGCACAUCCAGCUGCAAACAAGCACAGUAACUAGGAGCCCACCAGCCCUGGAGUGUGACUCUCAGGAUGCUGGCGCUCUCUUCUCAGUCUGACUUGCUCCUCUGAGAUAAAAGCGUCUGGGCCCGAGCUAUGUGCGUUGUUUGAUAGCAGGUAUGCCGAGGGGCCCUCCGUCACGAGAUGCUCUGCCAUGCUUUCUGAGUCUCAUUCUCCAAGCCUGCCUCCCUGUCCGUUAUCAUGUGUUCUUAUGUUUGGCCAUUUUGUCGUUAGGCUUUGUUGUGGGUGCCUCUGUACCCAAGGCCAUGUAACAAGGUAGUUGGAACUCAGGUCCUGAGUGAAGAGCGUCAUGGUAGUGUUAAGAGUAGUAACAUAACAAUUUCCAAACUUCACAGUGGUGGGCGUCACAUCCUGGGAGAUAGCAAGAGUUGUGUGGUCUUUCCCAGGCCACAGUGGGGUUUUGGCCCCUGCUUCAAGCCCUGACCGUUCCCUCUCAGGUCCCAGGCUGGGUGGGCUGCUGGGAAGUUCCUAGAUGAUGUUGCUCUCCGGUGCUCUUCCCAGAACUCGCUGCUCUGAAUAAACCAAAGCUGUGAAAGGGCCUUCUGUGCUGGCUGCCGGCCCAGCGCCGGGGUGCAGGCCCUGGGCUCUUCUCCUGGCAGGGCCGGCUGUCUGCCUGUGCAGGUGGAGAAGCCGGCUCUGGUGUAAGGGAAGCUGCCCUUCAAUCUGCAUUCCUCUGGGUUGGAAUCACCCCAGAGGUGGCAAGGAUGCUCCUGGCACUGAGAGCCUGUGCCUCUGUGCCACUUGGCAUGAGAUUGUGGAGGAAGACGCCAAGAGCAGAGAUGUCUUCCUGUCCCAGUGGCCUCUGAGGACUCCCCAAGAUGCUGCGGAGUGAGAUGGGAGACUUCAGGAUGGGCCAUGGGCCUUCUAGGUUGGGGUCCGGUCCUCUCAAUAAACUGGUCCUUUCUCAAUUCUUACUCCCUUUUGCUCCUCCGGCUCCCUUCCCUCUGCCAGGUAUGGAAAAGGUGGCUGGGCUCGGCGCACGCUCCCACCCCGGUAGCCUUAGCUGAGUCACGCGGCGAGCACAACAGAUCUGUAGCAGCUCAUCUGCCGUAUAAACCGCUUGGCUGAUGGAGUCCUCAUUGAGUUGUUUCAUUACCGUGCAAAGUGGAAUAAUGUCAUUCACCUUUACUCUAAACAAGGCUGUGAGAACAUAAUAAACAGAAACUGAACAAGCUG
Otolemur garnettii (small-eared galago) is the source of this 2502-nucleotide long non-coding RNA. RefSeq lists it as uncharacterized. The record is from RefSeq and is a predicted model, not a curated record. The transcript has 2 exons. NCBI's taxonomy places the organism in Eukaryota, Metazoa, Chordata, Mammalia, Primates, Galagidae.